Molecule: unclassified non-coding RNA, 334 nt
Filed under: soil metagenome
Description: partial contains 5.8S ribosomal RNA, internal transcribed spacer 2, and large subunit ribosomal RNA
Rfam family: 5.8S ribosomal RNA (bases 1-120)
Source: RNAcentral
GAUGAAGAACGCAGCGAAAUGCGAUAAGUAAUGUGAAUUGCAGAAUUCAGUGAAUCAUCGAAUCUUUGAAUGCACAUUGCGCCCGCCAGUAUUCUGGCGAGCAUGCCUGUUCGAGCGUCAUUUCAACCAUCAAGCCCCAGGCUUGUGUUGGAGCCCUGCGGCUGCCGCAGCCUCCCAAAACCAGUGGCGGGCUCGCUAUCACACCGAGUGCAGUAGUUUACUCUUCGCUCAGGGCGUGUGGCGGGUGCUAGCCGUGAAACCCCCAACUUCUCAAGGUUGACCUCGGAUCAGGUAGGAAUACCCGCUGAACUUAAGCAUAUCAAUAAGCGGAGGA